AGGGGGUCUUCAAUUCCGACAACCCGCCCCAGUAGUAGACGUUCUUCAAUAACUCAGUAAUCAACUCUUUCGCUUAGCAGUUGAAUUAGCCACUGAGCUGCCGAAGUUCGGCAGCGACAAUCUAUUGAGUUCUAAGGAACCUUCGGAAGAGCUGAUUCCGUAUCCAACUAUUUUAGGCUAAGGUGUGGAUUACCUUAGAAGAGCUGCUAAGCGCUACUACAAAUGCCUCGGUCGGAUUCGGGCUGUUGGAAUUCAUUAGGGGAGCUCAUUCCUUAUCCACAUUAUGUUGCAAAGUAGCUCAAGGGCACGUGCUGAUAAGCUCUAGAAACUUUCAGAACCUUUAGUGCCCACUUCCUUUCUUCAGAACGGCUCCCCUACGUUUUUGGGGGGAACUUGAGUGGCCCCAUUACCCUUGGAGGUAGCUUCGGAUAGGGUUGUAGAGUACCCUAGUUAGGUCUAUAGAAUGACGGUAGCUUAGAACUUCCGAUUUCGUUCGGAAGUCAAAGGAAAUGGGGAACAGUUCAUUACUACUUAGCUUCGCUCAACAAGCUGUUGAGGGAACCUUCUAACCUACUGUCAUUCUAUAGAGUUUGGGAGCUCAGCUAUCUCUUUCUAGAGCUACAAAAAGAGGUGACCGGUAUCGAAGAUCGCGAAGGCUCAUAAGUGCGACGAACAAACAACUAACUCCUAUUUUUUGUGUUAAAAGAACCUUCGAAGCCAGCUUGUGUAGCAGAUAAGGAGGGUUGUUUCGAGUUCAGUCGUUAAGCUACACGAGGCGGCAAGGCGGGUUGGAUUCAGUCUAGCUGAAUCGCAACGAGUUCAUUCGUUAAGUGACACGUUUAGACUCGUUACGUUAACGACUGAACUCAUUGUCUAAACGCUUGAGUUCAGUCGUUAAGCUACACGAGUUGCAUGGCAACGAGUUCAGUCGUUAAGCUACAAGAGUCUAUAGAGCAUCUUCGCAGUCGCUCCGCUAGGUAGCAACGUCAAAGCCCUCAACAACGAGGGCUUUUUGCUCUUGCGAAGCAAGUGGUAGCAAUGUCAAAGCACUCUAGAGGGCUUUGCAGCGCGAGCAAAGCACUCUAGCAUGCUUUGCAACAUAAAAGCGAAAGUUGAAGAGUUUUAGAAGUAGAAGUAGAAGCGAAGAAAACUACACCAAAAGCCGCUUAGAGAGAGCGUGCGGUGCGCGAAAGCCGUUGCGGCUUUCUUGCUGAGGAAUUUGAUCUUACUUUUUGAAAGGUAUUUAUAGAAGAAACGCCUGCGAAAGCCAAUUAAAUGAAUAAUAGUAUCUGCGAAAGAAAUAUAAAAAAGCAUAAGAACUUCACAACUUUCUUUUUGCUUUUAUAAAUUCUAAUAGAAUAUGCCAAUUUACCUAAGAAUUUGAAAGCUCGGAAGAAUUGUAUUGAUCUGCGAAAGCCAAAAAAUCAUUUAUUUAGGGUUUUCUCGUGGUUUUUGUUUGUCCAACAAUGGCACUAUCUGUUUCCGCAACAUUGUUGUGGCUUUUGCAAGUAAACAAUCCAAAGCUUUAAUCAAUAGACAUAACGAAGGAAAGCUUAGAUUUACUUCUUUAGACAUAAAGGAGGAAAGCUUUGCUUGUUCAACAAAAGAAGUCUCAGAAGGCUUUGCAAUGACACCAUCAUCAAAAGCUGUGGGUUUUGCAAGGAAACAAUCCAAGUGCUUUUGCUUGUUCAACAAUGGCACUAUCUGUUUCAGCAACAUUGCUGUGGUUAACUAAAAUCUUUCUUCUUUCUUUCUAUAUUCAAUUUUGAGUCUUACUAGUGAGCGCUAAGAGUCUUGAGUCUAACCUCUUUAAUUCCUUCAUUCUCUUCCUCGCUAAUUGAACUCUAGUUGAAGGGUUCUUCGUUAACAAAUUAUCGUAAUCAAAUAACUUUCUCUGCCCUGAAAAUGGAACUAAACAGUUGCUUUAUUCAAAGGUAAGUUCAAAAGGAUCUUAGCCAGACGUUGACCGGUCGCGCGGGACACUAUCGGUCCACGAAAGCUUGGCUCUUUGGGCGCUGCUUUAUCGAUCUACUAGCUAACUUCUUUUAAGAAAGACAAAAGUCUGAUUCUAUUGUAUACAACAAAAGAAGUCAAAGUCUGAAUAUCUGCGAAAGCCAACCAAAUCGGAGCGACGCAAGGAGCAGAGAUGCG
RNAcentral lists this long non-coding RNA (2151 nucleotides) under Amborella trichopoda. RNAcentral's name for it is "long non-coding RNA (ATRI_LNC003056)". The record is from RNAcentral. Lineage: Eukaryota; Viridiplantae; Streptophyta; Magnoliopsida; Amborellales; Amborellaceae.